RNAcentral lists this ribosomal RNA (497 nucleotides) under uncultured bacterium. RNAcentral describes it as "partial 16S ribosomal RNA". It matches the Rfam family "Bacterial small subunit ribosomal RNA", at positions 28 to 507 of the family's 1533-position model. The record is from RNAcentral.
GAUGAACGCUGGCGGCGUGCCUAAUACAUGCAAGUCGAGCGAACAGACGAGGAGCUUGCUCCUCUGACGUUAGCGGCGGACGGGUGAGUAACACGUGGAUAACCUACCUAUAAGACUGGGAUAACUUCGGGAAACCGGAGCUAAUACCGGAUAACAUGUUGAACCGCAUGGUUCAACAGUGAAAGACGGUCUUGCUGUCGCUUAUAGAUGGAUCCGCGCCGCAUUAGCUAGUUGGUAAGGUAACGGCUUACCAAGGCAACGAUGCGUAGCCGACCUGAGAGGGUGAUCGGCCACACUGGAACUGAGACACGGUCCAGACUCCUACGGGAGGCAGCAGUAGGGAAUCUUCCGCAAUGGGCGCAAGCCUGACGGAGCAACGCCGCGUGAGUGAAGAAGGUCUUCGGAUCGUAAAACUCUGUUAUUAGGGAAGAACAAAUGUGUAAGUAACUAUGCACGUCUUGACGGUACCUAAUCAGAAAGCCACGGCUAACUACGUG